This 89-nucleotide transfer RNA is filed under the name Candidatus Bathyarchaeota archaeon. RNAcentral describes it as "tRNA-OTHER". It matches the Rfam family "tRNA". From Rfam's summary of the family: Transfer RNA (tRNA) molecules are approximately 80 nucleotides in length. Their secondary structure includes four short double-helical elements and three loops (D, anti-codon, and T loops). Lineage: Archaea; Thermoproteati; Candidatus Bathyarchaeota. The record is from RNAcentral.
GGGCCCGUCGCCUAACCUGGAUAUGGCGGCAGAAUAAGUGCCGAGCCCUCUAAGCUGUAAUAAUCUGGGUUCAAAUCCCAGCGGGCCCA